GCACGAGCGCAGAACAAAGGGCCGGACAUGCUCCAGCCCGCUCCGCCUGCGCCUCGGCCUUGCGCGCGGGGGCCCGGGUUACCUGCGCAGAGCCAGCUGUGAUGUAAAGAAGUUUGUGCUGCAUGAGAGAGAUAGCACCUGAAGAAAAUGAGGCCCUGGAGGAUGAGAGACUCUAAAGGAAAAGGGAAGGGCCUGCUGUCUUCCAGCCACGCCAGCCCCCAACUGAGAAGCUGGGCUGGAGUGCUGUGGCACAACCAUAGCUCACUGCAGCCUCC
RNAcentral lists this long non-coding RNA (275 nucleotides) under Homo sapiens (human). Its description in RNAcentral is "HSALNT0380909". The record is from RNAcentral. Lineage: Eukaryota; Metazoa; Chordata; Mammalia; Primates; Hominidae.